Molecule: ribosomal RNA, 1492 nt
Filed under: Phormidesmis priestleyi
Lineage: Bacteria; Bacillati; Cyanobacteriota; Cyanophyceae; Leptolyngbyales; Leptolyngbyaceae
Also listed under: 1 other name
Description: bacterial SSU rRNA
Rfam family: Bacterial small subunit ribosomal RNA
Source: RNAcentral
CAACAUGGAGAGUUUGAUCCUGGCUCAGGAUGAACGCUGGCGGUAUGCUUAACACAUGCAAGUCGAACGGAAUCCUUCGGGAUUUAGUGGCGGACGGGUGAGUAACGCGUGAGAAUCUGCCUUCAGGACGGGGACAACAGUUGGAAACGGCUGCUAAAACCCGAUGUGCCUACGGGUGAAAUAUUUAUAGCCUGAAGAGGAGCUCGCGUCUGAUUAGCUAGUUGGUGCGGUAACGGCGUACCAAGGCGACGAUCAGUAACUGGUCUGAGAGGAUGACCAGUCACACUGGGACUGAGACACGGCCCAGACUCCUACGGGAGGCAGCAGUGGGGAAUUUUCCGCAAUGGGCGCAAGCCUGACGGAGCAAUACCGCGUGAGGGAGGAAGGCUCUUGGGUCGUAAACCUCUUUUAUCAGGGAAGAACACAAUGACGGUACCUGAUGAAUCAGCAUCGGCUAACUCCGUGCCAGCAGCCGCGGUAAUACGGAGGAUGCAAGCGUUAUCCGGAAUUAUUGGGCGUAAAGCGUCCGCAGGUGGUUUUGAAAGUUUGCUGUUAAAUCGCGAGGCUCAACUUCGUAACGGCGGUGAAAACUUCAAGACUAGAGUUUGGUAGGGGUCACGGGAAUUCCCAGUGUAGCGGUGAAAUGCGUAGAUAUUGGGAAGAACACCAGCGGCGAAAGCGCGUGACUGGGCCUGAACUGACACUCAUGGACGAAAGCUAGGGGAGCGAAAGGGAUUAGAUACCCCUGUAGUCCUAGCCGUAAACGAUGACAACUAGGUGUUGCCCGUAUCGACCCGGGCAGUGCCGUAGCCAACGCGUUAAGUUGUCCGCCUGGGGAGUACGCACGCAAGUGUGAAACUCAAAGGAAUUGACGGGGGCCCGCACAAGCGGUGGAGUAUGUGGUUUAAUUCGAUGCAACGCGAAGAACCUUACCAAGGCUUGACAUGUGCAGAAUCCUCUUGAAAGGGAGGAGUGCCUUCGGGAGCUGCAACACAGGUGGUGCAUGGCUGUCGUCAGCUCGUGUCGUGAGAUGUUGGGUUAAGUCCCGCAACGAGCGCAACCCUCGUUUCUAGUUGCCAUCAUUGAGUUGGGCACUUUAGAGAGACUGCCGGUGACAAACCGGAGGAAGGUGGGGAUGACGUCAAGUCAGCAUGCCCCUUACGCCUUGGGCUACACACGUACUACAAUGCUACGGACAAAGAGCCGCAAGUUCGCGAGGACAAGCAAAUCUCAUAAACCGUGGCUCAGUUCAGAUUGCAGGCUGCAACUCGCCUGCAUGAAGGCGGAAUCGCUAGUAAUCGCAGGUCAGCAUACUGCGGUGAAUACGUUCCCGGGCCUUGUACACACCGCCCGUCACACCAUGGGAGUUGGCCACGCCCGAAGUCGUUACUCCAACCGUUCGCGGAGGAGGAUGCCGAAGGCAGGGCUGAUGACUGGGGUGAAGUCGUAACAAGGUAGCCGUACCGGAAGGUGUGGCUGGAUCACCUCCUUA